CACGUAGGUGGCAAGCGUUAUCCGGAAUUACUGGGCGUAAAGGGUCCGCAGGUGGGGCGGGAAGUCUGGUGUGACAGUGCAUGGCUCAACUGUGCGUAGCCACUGGAAACUCCCACUCUUGAGUCACGGAGAGGGGUGCGGAAUUCCGGGUGUAGUGGUGGAAUGCGUAGAGAUCCGGAAGAACACCGGAGGCGAAGGCGGCUUGCUGGGCGUGAUCUGACGCUGAGGCGCGAAAGCGUGGGGAGCAAACAGG
RNAcentral lists this ribosomal RNA (253 nucleotides) under uncultured bacterium. Its description in RNAcentral is "partial 16S ribosomal RNA". It matches the Rfam family "Bacterial small subunit ribosomal RNA", at positions 524 to 776 of the family's 1533-position model. The record is from RNAcentral.